RNAcentral lists this ribosomal RNA (253 nucleotides) under uncultured bacterium. RNAcentral describes it as "partial 16S ribosomal RNA". It matches the Rfam family "Bacterial small subunit ribosomal RNA", at positions 524 to 776 of the family's 1533-position model. The record is from RNAcentral.
CACGUAGGGGGCGAGCGUUGUCCGGAUUUAUUGGGCGUAAAGAGCUCGUAGGCGGUUUGUUAAGUCGGUUGUGAAAGCCCGGGGCUCAACCCCGGAGGGUCGACCGAUACUGGCAAACUAGAGUACAGAAGAGGUAGCUGGAAUUCCCGGUGGAGCGGUGAAAUGCGUAGAUAUCGGGAGGAACACCUGAGGCGAAGGCGGGCUACUGGGCUGAUACUGACGCUGAGGCGCGAAAGCCAGGGGAGCAAACGGG